This 193-nucleotide unclassified non-coding RNA is filed under the name uncultured Herpotrichiellaceae. RNAcentral's name for it is "sequence contains ITS1". Lineage: Eukaryota; Fungi; Ascomycota; Eurotiomycetes; Chaetothyriales; Herpotrichiellaceae. The record is from RNAcentral.
CCGAGUGUUAGGGUCCCUCUGGGGCCUGACCUCCAACCCUGUGUCUACCGUACCAUGUUGCUUCGGCGGGCCCGUCCCCUUGGGGGACCGCCGGAGGGUUAUCUGACCCUCUGGCCCGUGUCCGCCGAUGGCCCAACCUCAAAAAAAACUCUUGAUUAAACAUGUCUGAGUUGUACCUACAAAAAUCAAACCA